CAGCCGCCGCGGUAAUACGAAGGGUGCAAGCGUUACUCGGAAUUACUGGGCGUAAAGCGUGCGUAGGUGGUGGUUUAAGUCUGUUGUGAAAUCCCCGGGCUCAACCUGGGAAUAGCAAUGGAUACUGGCAAGCUAGAGUGUGUCAGAGGAUGGUGGAAUUCCCGGUGUAGCGGUGAAAUGCGUAGAGAUCGGGAGGAACAUCAGUGGCGAAGGCGGCCAUCUGGGACAACCCUGACGCUGAGGCACGAAAGCGUGGGGAGCAAACAGGAUUAGAUACCCCAGUAGUCCCUGUCUCUUAUAC
Molecule: ribosomal RNA, 301 nt
Filed under: uncultured bacterium
Lineage: Bacteria
Description: partial 16S ribosomal RNA
Rfam family: Bacterial small subunit ribosomal RNA
Source: RNAcentral